This 489-nucleotide ribosomal RNA is filed under the name uncultured bacterium. RNAcentral's name for it is "partial 16S ribosomal RNA". It matches the Rfam family "Bacterial small subunit ribosomal RNA", at positions 30 to 507 of the family's 1533-position model. The record is from RNAcentral.
UUGAACGCUGGCGGCAGGCCUAACACAUGCACGUCGAACGGUAACAGGAAGCAGCUUGCUGCUUCGCUGACGAGUGGCGGACGGGUGAGUAAUGUCUGGGAAACUGCCUGAUGGAGGGGGAUAACUACUGGAAACGGUAGCUAAUACCGCAUAACGUCGCAAGACCAAAGAGGGGGACCUUAGGGCCUCUUGCCAUCGGAUGUGCCCAGAUGGGAUUAGCUAGUAGGUGGGGUAACGGCUCACCUAGGCGACGAUCCCUAGCUGGUCUGAGAGGAUGACCAGCCACACUGGAACUGAGACACGGUCCAGACUCCUACGGGAGGCAGCAGUGGGGAAUAUUGCACAAUGGGCGCAAGCCUGAUGCAGCCAUGCCGCGUGUAUGAAGAAGGCCUUCGGGUUGUAAAGUACUUUCAGCGGGGAGGAAGGGAGUAAAGUUAAUACCUUUGCUCAUUGACGUUACCCGCAGAAGAAGCACCGGCUAACUCCGUG